UGUGUGUUAGUGGAAGCGUCUGGAAAGGCGCGCGAUACAGGGUGACAGCCCCGUACACAAAAAUGCACAUGCUGUGAGCUCGAUGAGUAGGGCGGGACACGUGGUAUCCUGUCUGAAUAUGGGGGGACCAUCCUCCAAGGCUAAAUACUCCUGACUGACCGAUAGUGAACCAGUACCGUGAGGGAAAGGCGAAAAGAACCCCGGCGAGGGGAGUGAAAAAGAACCUGAAACCGUGUACGUACAAGCAGUGGGAGCACGCUUAGGCGUGUGACUGCGUACCUUUUGUAUAAUGGGUCAGCGACUUAUAUUCUGUAGCAAGGUUAACCGAAUAGGGGAGCCGAAGGGAAACCGAGUCUUAACUGGGCGUUAAGUUGCAGGGUAUAGACCCGAAACCCGGUGAUCUAGCCAUGGGCAGGUUGAAGGUUGGGUAACACUAACUGGAGGACCGAACCGACUAAUGUUGAAAAAUUAGCGGAUGACUUGUGGCUGGGGGUGAAAGGCCAAUCAAACCGGGAGAUAGCUGGUUCUCCCCGAAAGCUAUUUAGGUAGCGCCUCGUGAAUUCAUCUCCGGGGGUAGAGCACUGUUUCGGCAAGGGGGUCAUCCCGACUUACCAACCCGAUGCAAACUGCGAAUACCGGAGAAUGUUAUCACGGGAGACACACGGCGGGUGCUAACGUCCGUCGUGAAGAGGGAAACAACCCAGACCGCCAGCUAAGGUCCCAAAGUCAUGGUUAAGUGGGAAACGAUGUGGGAAGGCCCAGACAGCCAGGAUGUUGGCUUAGAAGCAGCCAUCAUUUAAAGAAAGCGUAAUAGCUCACUGGUCGAGUCGGCCUGCGCGGAAGAUGUAACGGGGCUAAACCAUGCACCGAAGCUGCGGCAGCGACACUGUGUGUUGUUGGGUAGGGGAGCGUUCUGUAAGCCUGUGAAGGUGUGCUGUGAGGCAUGCUGGAGGUAUCAGAAGUGCGAAUGCUGACAUAAGUAACGAUAAAGCGGGUGAAAAGCCCGCUCGCCGGAAGACCAAGGGUUCCUGUCCAACGUUAAUCGGGGCAGGGUGAGUCGACCCCUAAGGCGAGGCCGAAAGGCGUAGUCGAUGGGAAACAGGUUAAUAUUCCUGUACUUGGUGUUACUGCGAAGGGGGGACGGAGAAGGCUAUGUUGGCCGGGCGACGGUUGUCCCGGUUUAAGCGUGUAGGCUGGUUUUCCAGGCAAAUCCGGAAAAUCAAGGCUGAGGCGUGAUGACGAGGCACUACGGUGCUGAAGCAACAAAUGCCCUGCUUCCAGGAAAAGCCUCUAAGCAUCAGGUAACAUCAAAUCGUACCCCAAACCGACACAGGUGGUCAGGUAGAGAAUACCAAGGCGCUUGAGAGAACUCGGGUGAAGGAACUAGGCAAAAUGGUGCCGUAACUUCGGGAGAAGGCACGCUGAUAUGUAGGUGAAGUCCCUUGCGGAUGGAGCUGAAAUCAGUCGAAGAUACCAGCUGGCUGCAACUGUUUAUUAAAAACACAGCACUGUGCAAACACGAAAGUGGACGUAUACGGUGUGACGCCUGCCCGGUGCCGGAAGGUUAAUUGAUGGGGUCAGCGCAAGCGAAGCUCUUGAUCGAAGCCCCGGUAAACGGCGGCCGUAACUAUAACGGUCCUAAGGUAGCGAAAUUCCUUGUCGGGUAAGUUCCGACCUGCACGAAUGGCGUAAUGAUGGCCAGGCUGUCUCCACCCGAGACUCAGUGAAAUUGAACUCGCUGUGAAGAUGCAGUGUACCCGCGGCAAGACGGAAAGACCCCGUGAACCUUUACUAUAGCUUGACACUGAACAUUGAGCCUUGAUGUGUAGGAUAGGUGGGAGGCUUAGAAGUGUGGACGCCAGUCUGCAUGGAGCCGACCUUGAAAUACCACCCUUUAAUGUUUGAUGUUCUAACGUUGACCCGUAAUCCGGGUUGCGGACAGUGUCUGGUGGGUAGUUUGACUGGGGCGGUCUCCUCCUAAAGAGUAACGGAGGAGCACGAAGGUUGGCUAAUCCUGGUCGGACAUCAGGAGGUUAGUGCAAUGGCAUAAGCCAGCUUGACUGCGAGCGUGACGGCGCGAGCAGGUGCGAAAGCAGGUCAUAGUGAUCCGGUGGUUCUGAAUGGAAGGGCCAUCGCUCAACGGAUAAAAGGUACUCCGGGGAUAACAGGCUGAUACCGCCCAAGAGUUCAUAUCGACGGCGGUGUUUGGCACCUCGAUGUCGGCUCAUCACAUCCUGGGGCUGAAGUAGGUCCCAAGGGUAUGGCUGUUCGCCAUUUAAAGUGGUACGCGAGCUGGGUUUAGAACGUCGUGAGACAGUUCGGUCCCUAUCUGCCGUGGGCGCUGGAGAACUGAGGGGGGCUGCUCCUA
RNAcentral lists this ribosomal RNA (2368 nucleotides) under Escherichia coli. RNAcentral's name for it is "bacterial LSU rRNA". It matches the Rfam family "Bacterial large subunit ribosomal RNA", at positions 323 to 2680 of the family's 2925-position model. The record is from RNAcentral. Lineage: Bacteria; Pseudomonadati; Pseudomonadota; Gammaproteobacteria; Enterobacterales; Enterobacteriaceae.